RNAcentral lists this ribosomal RNA (2897 nucleotides) under Pseudomonas syringae. RNAcentral describes it as "bacterial LSU rRNA". It matches the Rfam family "Bacterial large subunit ribosomal RNA". Lineage: Bacteria; Pseudomonadati; Pseudomonadota; Gammaproteobacteria; Pseudomonadales; Pseudomonadaceae. The record is from RNAcentral.
UAUGGUCAAGUGAAGAAGCGCAUACGGUGGAUGCCUUGGCAGUCAGAGGCGAUGAAAGACGUGGUAGCCUGCGAAAAGCUUCGGGGAGUCGGCAAACAGACUGUGAUCCGGAGGUAUCUGAAUGGGGGAACCCAGCCAUCAUAAGAUGGUUAUCUUGUACUGAAUACAUAGGUGCAAGAGGCGAACCAGGGGAACUGAAACAUCUAAGUACCCUGAGGAAAAGAAAUCAACCGAGAUUCCCUUAGUAGUGGCGAGCGAACGGGGACCAGCCCUUAAGUUGUAUUGAGAUUAGCGGAACACUCUGGAAAGGGUGGCCAUAGUGGGUGAUAGCCCUGUACGCGAAAAUCCCUUUGCAAUGAAAUCGAGUAGGACGGGGCACGAGAAACCUUGUCUGAAUAUGGGGGGACCAUCCUCCAAGGCUAAAUACUACUGACUGACCGAUAGUGAACCAGUACCGUGAGGGAAAGGCGAAAAGAACCGCGGAGAGCGGAGUGAAAUAGAUCCUGAAACCGUAUGCGUACAAGCAGUGGGAGCCCACUUUGUUGGGUGACUGCGUACCUUUUGUAUAAUGGGUCAGCGACUUAUUUUCAGUGGCGAGCUUAACCGAAUAGGGGAGGCGUAGCGAAAGCGAGUCUUAAUAGGGCGUCUAGUCGCUGGGAAUAGACCCGAAACCGGGCGAUCUAUCCAUGGGCAGGUUGAAGGUUGGGUAACACUAACUGGAGGACCGAACCGACUACCGUUGAAAAGUUAGCGGAUGACCUGUGGAUCGGAGUGAAAGGCUAAUCAAGCUCGGAGAUAGCUGGUUCUCCUCGAAAGCUAUUUAGGUAGCGCCUCAUGUAUCACUGUAGGGGGUAGAGCACUGUUUCGGCUAGGGGGUCAUCCCGACUUACCAAACCGAUGCAAACUCCGAAUACCUACAAGUGCCGAGCAUGGGAGACACACGGCGGGUGCUAACGUCCGUCGUGAAAAGGGAAACAACCCAGACCGUCAGCUAAGGUCCCAAAGUCAUGGUUAAGUGGGAAACGAUGUGGGAAGGCUUAGACAGCUAGGAGGUUGGCUUAGAAGCAGCCACCCUUUAAAGAAAGCGUAAUAGCUCACUAGUCGAGUCGGCCUGCGCGGAAGAUGUAACGGGGCUCAAACCAUGCACCGAAGCUACGGGUAUCAUCUUUUGAUGAUGCGGUAGAGGAGCGUUCUGUAAGCCUGUGAAGGUGAGUUGAGAAGCUUGCUGGAGGUAUCAGAAGUGCGAAUGCUGACAUGAGUAACGACAAUGGGUGUGAAAAACACCCACGCCGAAAGACCAAGGUUUCCUGCGCAACGUUAAUCGACGCAGGGUUAGUCGGUCCCUAAGGCGAGGCUGAAAAGCGUAGUCGAUGGAAAACAGGUUAAUAUUCCUGUACUUCUGGUUAUUGCGAUGGAGGGACGGAGAAGGCUAGGCCAGCCUGGCGUUGGUUGUCCAGGUUUAAGGUGGUAGGCUGAGAUCUUAGGUAAAUCCGGGAUCUUAAGGCCGAGAGCUGAUGACGAGUGUUCUUUAGAACACGAAGUGGUUGAUGCCAUGCUUCCAAGAAAAGCUUCUAAGCUUCAGGUAACCAGGAACCGUACCCCAAACCGACACAGGUGGUUGGGUAGAGAAUACCAAGGCGCUUGAGAGAACUCGGGUGAAGGAACUAGGCAAAAUGGCACCGUAACUUCGGGAGAAGGUGCGCCGGUGAGGGUUAAGCAUUUACUGCGUAAGCCCAUGCCGGUCGAAGAUACCAGGCCGCUGCGACUGUUUAUUAAAAACACAGCACUCUGCAAACACGAAAGUGGACGUAUAGGGUGUGACGCCUGCCCGGUGCCGGAAGGUUAAUUGAUGGGGUUAGCGCAAGCGAAGCUCUUGAUCGAAGCCCCGGUAAACGGCGGCCGUAACUAUAACGGUCCUAAGGUAGCGAAAUUCCUUGUCGGGUAAGUUCCGACCUGCACGAAUGGCGUAACGAUGGCGGCGCUGUCUCCACCCGAGACUCAGUGAAAUUGAAAUCGCUGUGAAGAUGCAGUGUAUCCGCGGCUAGACGGAAAGACCCCGUGAACCUUUACUAUAGCUUUGCACUGGACUUUGAAUUUGCUUGUGUAGGAUAGGUGGGAGGCUUUGAAGCGUGGACGCCAGUCUGCGUGGAGCCAACCUUGAAAUACCACCCUGGCAACUUUGAGGUUCUAACUCAGGUCCGUUAUCCGGAUCGAGGACAGUGUAUGGUGGGUAGUUUGACUGGGGCGGUCUCCUCCUAAAGAGUAACGGAGGAGUACGAAGGUGCGCUCAGACCGGUCGGAAAUCGGUCGUAGAGUAUAAAGGCAAAAGCGCGCUUGACUGCGAGACAGACACGUCGAGCAGGUACGAAAGUAGGUCUUAGUGAUCCGGUGGUUCUGUAUGGAAGGGCCAUCGCUCAACGGAUAAAAGGUACUCCGGGGAUAACAGGCUGAUACCGCCCAAGAGUUCAUAUCGACGGCGGUGUUUGGCACCUCGAUGUCGGCUCAUCACAUCCUGGGGCUGAAGCCGGUCCCAAGGGUAUGGCUGUUCGCCAUUUAAAGUGGUACGCGAGCUGGGUUUAGAACGUCGUGAGACAGUUCGGUCCCUAUCUGCCGUGGACGUUUGAGAUUUGAGAGGGGCUGCUCCUAGUACGAGAGGACCGGAGUGGACGAACCUCUGGUGUUCCGGUUGUCACGCCAGUGGCAUUGCCGGGUAGCUAUGUUCGGAAAAGAUAACCGCUGAAAGCAUCUAAGCGGGAAACUUGCCUCAAGAUGAGAUCUCACUGGAACCUUGAGUUCCCUAAAGGGCCGUCGAAGACUACGACGUUGAUAGGUUGGGUGUGUAAGCGCUGUGAGGCGUUGAGCUAACCAAUACUAAUUGCCCGUGAGGCUUGACCAUA